GUUGGGAUGGCUGGUCUUUAGCACCAGAAUUCAAGGACGGCAGAGACUGAUUUUGCUGGGUAGAAAUAUUUAAUUUGGAUGAGAGAUCAUGAUGUAAUGUCCCCUCCUUCACAGCUCCCUCUGUUAGCACUUGUCCAGCCUGAAUAUUCACCACAUUAUCCUGUGAACUUGAACAAGCAGACGACAAUGCAGAACUACCUUCAGAAGCAGAAUCGAAAGCCUCAAAAGGUUCCAGUUGUUUUGAUUCAGAACCACUAGC
RNAcentral lists this unclassified non-coding RNA (259 nucleotides) under Hevea brasiliensis (rubber tree). Lineage: Eukaryota; Viridiplantae; Streptophyta; Magnoliopsida; Malpighiales; Euphorbiaceae. The record is from RNAcentral.